CAGUUAAGCAGUGCGUCUGCUUACUGUCUGUUAUAUAACUUUAGACCCAAGGACAAUGCUUGACAGGGUCAGUAUUCAAAAAUCUGUCCAAGGUGCCUUUGUUUGGUGCUCUCCGACGAGUGUUUAAGCAAUAUAUGCACAAGCAGGUUUGAAGACAUGUCUUUAAUGUCUUUGCAAACUUAAUUUUCAUUGUGGAAACCAAUAAGGAGCCUGCAUCUCUUCAAUUUCUGAGCCAAUUAUCCCAGAAAAAGUUAACGCUAAGGUUUCUUCUCACAGCUGCCAAAACUAGAAUUGGAGAUGCUAGAGAGGAAGAUGUAGAAAAUGGGCAAAAUAUCAGCCUGAUACCAUGAGGAUGAAUGAGAGCUUACCCUUGCCUCUCCACAACCACAGCAGUUUGGUGAUUUUGGACCAGUCUGAAAAUGUAGAAAGUGAGCUGAGACUUAUUUCAGCUGAGCAUUUCUCAAAGUAUGACAUAUGAGGCAGCACUUGAGAUGAUUUUAGGGUGUGUGGACAAACUUUGUUAUCAUGUCAAUUAUAGAUAUAUCUAAUGACCAUAGAAAA
RNAcentral lists this long non-coding RNA (561 nucleotides) under Mus caroli (Ryukyu mouse). RNAcentral's name for it is "RIKEN cDNA 4930405D11 gene (MGP_CAROLIEiJ_G0004795.1)". The record is from RNAcentral. Lineage: Eukaryota; Metazoa; Chordata; Mammalia; Rodentia; Muridae.